This 515-nucleotide ribosomal RNA is filed under the name uncultured archaeon. RNAcentral describes it as "partial 16S ribosomal RNA". It matches the Rfam family "Archaeal small subunit ribosomal RNA", at positions 920 to 1431 of the family's 1478-position model. The record is from RNAcentral.
GGAAAUCUUACCGGGACCGACUGCGAUCUCCCCAUGGGGGGNGANGAGNNNGNNNGANNANNNGANAGGAGCCUUUGGGCGGCGACAGAACGAACAGGGAAGCANNCCAGAAAAGNCAGGCAACGAGCGAGACCCACGCCCACAGAAGCCAGCGAACACACCGGAGAGAGGGGAACACAGAGGGGACCGCCGCGGCAAAAGCGGAGGAAGGAAGGGGCAACGGGAGGACAGCAUGCCCCGAAAAACCCGGGCAACACGCGAGCUACAAUGGUUGGUACAAUGGGUAUCUACCCCGAGAGGGGAUGGCAAUCUCCUAAAACCAAUCUUAGUUCGGAUUGAGGGCUGCAACUCGCCCUCAUGAAGCUGGAAUCCGUAAUAAUCGCGUUUCAACAGAACGCGGAGAAUACGUCCCUGGUCCUUGCACACACCGCUCGUUCUAACCACCCGAGUAGGGUUUGAAUGAGAGCGCUUAUCAAUCAGAGGCGUUCUAAUUUGGGCUUUGCUAGGGGGGUUAA